Molecule: ribosomal RNA, 318 nt
Filed under: uncultured Prevotella sp.
Lineage: Bacteria; Pseudomonadati; Bacteroidota; Bacteroidia; Bacteroidales; Prevotellaceae
Description: bacterial SSU rRNA
Rfam family: Bacterial small subunit ribosomal RNA
Source: RNAcentral
GAUGAACGCUAGCGGCAGGCCUAACACAUGCAAGUCGAGGGGCAGCGGGGUGUAGCAAUACACUGCCGGCGACCGGCGCACGGGUGAGUAACGCGUAUCCAACCUGCCCAUGGGUCAGGGGUAAACUCCCGAAAGGGAGCCUAAUACCUGAUGUUGUGAGAAGAAGGCCUCUGAUUUUCACGAAAGACUUCGGUCGCCGAUGGAUGGGGAUGCGUACGAUUAGGCAGCAGGCGGGGUAACGGCCCACCUGGCCAACGAUCGUUAGGGGUUCUGAGAGGAAGGUCCCCCACACUGGUACUGAGACACGGACCAGACUCC